GUAGGGAAUCUUGCGCAAUGGGCGAAAGCCUGACGCAGCCAUGCCGCGUGAAUGAUGAAGGUCUUAGGAUUGUAAAAUUCUUUCACCGGGGACGAUAAUGACGGUACCCGGAGAAGAAGCCCCGGCUAACUUCGUGCCAGCAGCCGCGGUAAUACGAAGGGGGCUAGCGUUGCUCGGAAUUACUGGGCGUAAAGGGAGCGUAGGCGGAUAGUUUAGUCAGAGGUGAAAGCCCAGGGCUCAACCUUGGAAUUGCCUUUGAUACUGGCUAUCUUGAGUAUGGAAGAGGUAUGUGGAACUCCGAGUGUAGAGGUGAAAUUCGUAGAUAUUCGGAAGAACACCAGUGGCGAAGGCGACAUACUGGUCCAUUACUGACGCUGAGGCUCGAAAGCGUGGGGAGCAAAAGGGAUUAGAUACCCGAGUAGUCC
Molecule: ribosomal RNA, 425 nt
Filed under: uncultured bacterium
Lineage: Bacteria
Description: partial 16S ribosomal RNA
Rfam family: Bacterial small subunit ribosomal RNA
Source: RNAcentral